GUGCUCACUUCAGCAGCACAUAUACUAAAAUUGGAACGAUACAGAGAAGAUUAGCAUGGCCCUUGUGCAAGGAUGACAUGCAAAUUCGUGAAGCGUUCCCUAUUUUU
This is a small nuclear RNA of Bos grunniens (domestic yak), 107 nucleotides long. NCBI's taxonomy places the organism in Eukaryota, Metazoa, Chordata, Mammalia, Artiodactyla, Bovidae. The record is from Ensembl.